Molecule: long non-coding RNA, 1798 nt
Organism: Ictalurus punctatus (channel catfish)
Lineage: Eukaryota; Metazoa; Chordata; Actinopteri; Siluriformes; Ictaluridae
Source: Ensembl
GGGUAUGGUUACACAGAAAAUGAGGGAGACAACAGAAGAAGAAGUUCUACAUGGGGAUGCAAGAGAAGAAGUUGUUCUACAUGGGGGCCGCGGGUGCCCUCUAGUGGUCCUGGAAUGGAACUACCGCUGGGAGGCCAUGACACAUUCAGGACUACUAUUAUGAUUAUGAGAGGGAAAAAUAUCCCUCUGUGAUUAUCAUUAUUUAGUAAACUAUUUUAUUACAAAAAAACUAUUGUUCUUUAUUUAUCCAGUGUAUACAAUAUGAAAAGGAAAGUAUGAAUAUCCGUCUGAAAUCCUCUCAGUACAACUGCAAUCACAUGGCAGAAAAAAAGGACACAAUUUGUGUCUGAAGACUGAAGACACCUCACACAGAGCUGUUUCAACAAAUGAAAUGAUUGGUUUGUCACUUCUUUUAUAACAAUUGUGUACACUAAGACUGAUAAUAAACAGAUUUUUAAGUUGUUGUUUAACAACAUUAUUGGUCACAGUGAAAUUCUUUUCUUCACAUACCCCAGCAUGUUAGGAUGUUGGGGUCAGAGCGCAGGGUCGGCCAUGAUACAGCGCCCCCUGGAGCAGAGAAGGUUAAGGGCCUUGCUCAAGAGCCCGACAGUGGCAGCGCUGGGGCUUGAACCCCCGACCUUCUGAUCAGUCACCCAGAGCCGUAACCUCCAAGCAACCGCUGCCCCUUUAUAAUUCUUGAUACGAUGACAUUUUUUUUUUCCUUAGGAGACAUUUCUUUAACAUUUAUGGAAGGAGGAAUUUGCAUUUAAUGAUGCCUACAAAAAAAUUAUAAAUGGCAAAGUUCACACAGUUACUAGAAGUUCUGGCACUGUGGACAGCUGCCAAUCGAUGGCUGCUUUGACUCUCGACAUUGUGUCCGUCUUCCAUUUGCAUACCAGCAGGAGGCACACAGACUACAGCUGCAAAUCUAAAAGCUUUCUGUGAGAACGUCUGCGUUGUACCAGCCAGUCAGGCCUCCUACUAACAACUCCAGAGUAGGAGUUAGUGUGAAUAGUGCGGAGGAGGCAAGGACGCGGUGGUACGGAAACUCGGUUUAACGCGUGCGAAACACUCGAGUAAUUCAACUUUGUUAUUAUAAUGAAGUAUUAUUUAUUCUUUACUGGAGUAUUAAUUGGAAAUUGAAUACCUGUACUCUCACUUAAUUACACUGUAGUGUCAGAUUCCUGUUCUGACAGUAUCUCACAAACGUGAGUACACCCUUCACAUGUUUGUAAAUAUUUGAUAUCUUUUCAUGUGACGAAACUGAAGAAAUGACAUUUUGCUACAAUUUGAAAAUUUGUACUUUGCUACACCAGUUUAAUUUGGGAAUUCUUUUUAAAGCAUUUGCGUAUGUUCUUAAUGUUUUCAGAGUUUUAAUGUUUUUAAAUUGGACACCAGUCACCAUCGUCCUGAGUAGGUUCUUCACACUGAAAUAUCAAAACAAAACAAAGAGACAAGUCAGCAUAACAGAUAUUAUUCAAAUUAAUAUGAUCACACUAAAUACAUGAAUGGAGGACAGAACUGCAGUUAAAAUCGACAUCGAUUCUACGGUUAUACAUCGUUCAGGCCGGACUCCACGUUAGUGACGCGUUGCAAUGUAAAGGGAAAUUAAAUAAAGCAGCAUGAGUAAAGUAUGUUUCCUUUCUCAAACAGGUCACUGGUCAGUACCCAGAAUGCAAUAGGAGGCACGUGACUGGAGCACAAAUCAAUUAACAGCCCCAUUUUGUUUUAAAAGAGCAGCCAUUACAAAAGGAAUCUUACUGGUAGCAGAUUUCUCUUCUGGAAUUCCUCGUUUCCG